RNAcentral lists this non-coding RNA (24 nucleotides) under Gossypium hirsutum (cotton). The record is from RNAcentral. Lineage: Eukaryota; Viridiplantae; Streptophyta; Magnoliopsida; Malvales; Malvaceae.
GAUCGACCCGAUUUAAGCAACGAA